This 491-nucleotide ribosomal RNA is filed under the name uncultured bacterium. RNAcentral's name for it is "bacterial SSU rRNA". It matches the Rfam family "Bacterial small subunit ribosomal RNA", at positions 29 to 511 of the family's 1533-position model. The record is from RNAcentral.
AUUGAACGCUGGCGGCAUGCCUAACACAUGCAAGUCGAACGGCAGCGCGGGCUUCGGCCUGGCGGCGAGUGGCGGACGGGUGAGGAAUACAUAGGAAUCUGCCCAGUCGUGGGGGAUAACCCGGGGGAAACCCGGACUAAUACCGCAUACGACGGUGACGUGAAAGCAGGGGGACCUUCGGGCCUUGCGCGAUUGGAUGAGCCUAUGUCGGAUUAGCUAGUUGGCGGGGUAAAGGCCCACCAAGGCGACGAUCCGUAGCUGGUCUGAGAGGAUGAUCAGCCACACUGGGACUGAGACACGGCCCAGACUCCUACGGGAGGCAGCAGUGGGGAAUAUUGGACAAUGGGCGCAAGCCUGAUCCAGCAAUGCCGCGUGGGUGAAGAAGGCCUUCGGGUUGUAAAGCUCUUCUAGCCGGGAAGAAAACGCACUCUCUAACAUAGGGUGUGGAGUGACGGUACCGGACCAAGAAGCACCGGCUAACUACGUGCCAG